RNAcentral lists this ribosomal RNA (460 nucleotides) under uncultured bacterium. RNAcentral describes it as "partial 16S ribosomal RNA". It matches the Rfam family "Bacterial small subunit ribosomal RNA", at positions 338 to 795 of the family's 1533-position model. The record is from RNAcentral.
CCUACGGGUGGCAGCAGUGAGGAAUAUUGGUCAAUGGGCGCUAGCCUGAACCAGCCAAGUAGCGUGAAGGAUGACUGUCCUACGGGUUGUAAACCUCUUUUAUCUGGGAACAAAGUGCACCACGUAUACUGCUUCGCGUGUACCUGAUGAAAAAGCAUCGGCUAACUCCGUGCCAGCAGCCGCGGUAAUACGGAGGUUGCGAGCGUUAUCCGGAUUUAUUGGGUUUAAAGGGAGCGGAGGCGGAUUGGGAAGUCCGUUGUGAAAGUUUGCGGCGUAAACGUAACAUUGCAGUUGAUACUGGUAUCCGAGAGUACAGUAGAGGUAUGCGGAAUUCGUGGUGUAGCGGUGAAAUGCUUAGAUAUCACGAAGAACUCCGAUUGCGAAGGCGGGUUCCUGGAGAUUAACUGACGCUGAGGCACGAAAGCGUGGGUAGCGAACGGGAUUAGAUACCCCAGUAGUC